AGCUAGUUGGUGGGGUAAAAGCCUACCAAGGCGACGAUCUGUAGCUGGUCUGAGAGGACGACCAGCCACACUGGGACUGAGACACGGCCCAGACUCCUACGGGAGGCAGCAGUGGGGAAUUUUGGACAAUGGGCGCAAGCCUGAUCCAGCCAUGCCGCGUGCGGGAAGAAGGCCUUCGGGUUGUAAACCGCUUUUGUCGGGGAAGAAAUACUCUGGACUAAUACUCUGGGGUGAUGACGGUACCUGAAGAAUAAGCACCGGCUAACUACGUGCCAGCAGCCGCGGUAAUACGUAGGGUGCGAGCGUUAAUCGGAAUUACUGGGCGUAAAGCGUGCGCAGGCGGUUGUGUAAGACAGAUGUGAAAUCCCCGGGCUCAACCUGGGAAUGGCAUUUGUGACUGCACAGCUAGAGUACGGUAGAGGGGGAUGGAAUUCCGCGUGUAGCAGUGAAAUGCGUAGAUAUGCGGAGGAACACCGAUGGCGAAGGCAGUCCCCUGGACCUGUACUGACGCUCAUGCACGAAAGCGUGGGGAGCAAUCAGGAUUAGAUACCCUGGUAGUCCACGCCCUAAACGAUG
Molecule: ribosomal RNA, 576 nt
Filed under: uncultured bacterium
Lineage: Bacteria
Description: bacterial SSU rRNA
Rfam family: Bacterial small subunit ribosomal RNA
Source: RNAcentral